Non-coding RNA from Rhineura floridana, 72 nucleotides. Lineage: Eukaryota; Metazoa; Chordata; Lepidosauria; Squamata; Rhineuridae. The record is from the annotation of a RefSeq genome assembly.
GGGGAUGUAGCCCAGUGGUAGAGCAUCUGCUUUGCAUGCAGAAGGUCCCAGGUUCAAUCCCUGGCAUCUCCA